Non-coding RNA from Triticum urartu, 4354 nucleotides. Lineage: Eukaryota; Viridiplantae; Streptophyta; Magnoliopsida; Poales; Poaceae. The record is from RefSeq and is a predicted model, not a curated record.
CUCCCCGAGUUCAGUACGUACGGUGGGCUAGAAGAUAAUAGGCGCGAGUUUUUCCAUGUUGCUCCGCCUGAAGAUUACCACCGUCCAGCCUGUGGCGCUGCUUCUUGGGCAUGACCAUGGCGCGACAGCAUCCCCGCGGCGUCUCGCCGGAGCCCUUCCGCAGGGCGGUGGAGCGUCCACGAGAGCAAAGAGGCUGAGGAGCGUGGCGGUGGCGAUGGCGCUCAAGGAGGAGGAGCCGGAGAGCAGCCGAAGCCGCUUCGCCGGGGGCGGCCCGAGCUGGGACCCCAGGAUGGAGAUCGGAGUCCCAUACGAGCAAAGACCGGUUAACGAGUACUCCGCUCUCAAGGAGAGCACCUUGUACUCUUGGGCAGAGCUGAGUCCAGGCUCUUUCUUCAUGCGCCUAGGCAGCCUGUGCCUGGUCACAUUUACAGUUCUGGCGGCCCCAAUCUCAGCCGCAAGUUUCAGUCCCGGAAAGGAUCCACUCAAGUUCGUGCUAGCUGCUGGGAUUGGGACCCUGCUCCUGGUGUCUCUUGUGGUUCUCAGGAUCUACCUGGGUUGGAGCUACGUGGGUGACAGGCUAUUAUCGGCAGUCGUGCCGUAUGAAGAAACCGGGUGGUACGAUGGCCAAAUGUGGGUCAAGCCAGCAGAGGUGCUGGCUCGCGACAGGCUAUUGGGAUCUUACAAGGUAAAGCCGGUGAUCAACCUGCUCAAACAGACACUGGUGGGCACCGGUGCGCUGCUCGUCGGGGCGGUGGCACUCUUCGCCUUCGCCGCCCCCGUCGAGGAAUUCGUCCACUCCUUCAAUGGAGCCCCCACUACCGCCUCCUCUAAGCCGAUCAUGAGGAGAGAGGACCUGCUGAAGCUGCCUGCCGAGGUGAGGCAAGACGACGACCUCGCUGCGGCUGCUGCGGAGGCCGCCAAUGGACGCCCGGUUUACUGCAGGGACCGCUACUACCGGGCGCUCGCCGGCGAAACAAGUCAGCCUUGACCCGACCCCGACUGAGCUGCGCCCUGUGUGGCGCCGCCGCCAACCCACCGCGAAAUCAGCCCGCCGCCGGCGCGUAGGAGCUACUUUAGUUUGUCCUUUGCUCAUCAUGCCGUUAAAAGCACCAACUGUCUGCAACUGGGUCCCUUCCACAGUUACUGAGGAUACCUUGAAGGAAUUUGUCACCAUAGGAUUUUUGCCAGAGAAAAAUGUUAUGUCUUAUCGUGCACCUAACUCGGACGAAGAACGACCUCAGCCUAAAUACGGUGAAGUUAUCAUUUUCACCGAUCACAUGAACCGGGGUUUCUCACCACCCGGCUCAAAGUUCUUCCGAGAUGUUCUGCAUUUUUUCAAGCUUCACCCACAAGACAUUGGACCCAACUCUAUAUCCAAUAUCUGCAAUUUUCAUGUUCUUUGUGAGGUAUAUCUUCAAGAAGAACCGACCGUGGAACUCUUCAGAGAAUACUUUUAUCUGAACCACCAGAAUGAAUGCACCAACGGCCUUAGUUUGGAGCUUGGUGGAAUCUCAAUUCAACGCCGACAGGGCGCCGUCUUUCCCUUAAUAUUCUUACCAAGCCAUCCCAAAUAUUGGAAUCAGACCUGGUUCUACUGCCAAGAUAAGUCACCAGCCAAUGAAAAACCACUGUCGGGUUAUCGCGCGGAAUGUCUGGAUUCCAAGUUUGUGCUCCCUGAUAAGCUUACCGCUGCUGAACGCAAGAAGCUUAUUCCAUCUAUUAGAAGGAUUCAACCUUUAUUGGGGAACGACUUAACUGGAGUUGACCUAACCCGUUGCUGGGUCGCAUGGCGGGUCAUCCCCCUAAGCCGCUGAUCCAAGUUAAUGUACGAGUAUGGCGGAGGCCCAAAUGACUCUCUGCAUUAUAGCUCUGUUCAAUUGACUGAAGAAGACGUUGUUGCAAUGUCAACCAUCCUCAUGAACGGAAAAUAUGAGGACUGCAUUAAGGUUGGGUUAAACCCCUUCUGCAAACUUAACCUGGCCCUAGAGGCCAAAUCUGACUUCUGGAAGGCCAAGUAUGAUCAUGAAGCUGCCAAGAAGGCUAGAGCCGCUGCCAUAGCCGCCCGGAGAACGACCCAGAAGCCCAAGAAGAAGAAGACUGCAUCUGACUUAUUCCACCUGGAUGAUGCUUCUGAAUCGGAAGUAGCCCUUGACUCCCUUGGCCAGUUUUUUAACUAUCUUAUUGACACUGACUAUUGCCAGGACGACACGGGGGCCAGCCAGGCCGUGGAAGAAGAGCAACAUGAGAGCCGCCGUCAGGCCCGGACUAAUGACGAUGAUGAACCACCUUCUGAUUUACAAUAAACUCCUCGAAAACGCCAGAAUGAGGAGGUUUCUCGCUCUUCUGGCGACUCGUCGCAAACUCAAUUUCCGGCUUUCAAGACUGCCCCUGGAGGUCAAGCCAAAUCCAAGAAGGCCAAGGUGAUUAAGCCGACAGAAGACCCGAAAGUUCCUGCAACUGAGCCGGCCAUGCCAACUCCCUCUCAAACUGAAGCACCAGAAGACCCGGCUAUUCAUACUCAAUUGGACCCUCCUGAGUUGCCAGCCGAUGAUGCCACCCUUAAUCCGACCAUUACUGAACCAUCUAGCUCAUCUAACCCGCCAACAACUUCUGAUACUGACGUUUUGAUUACCGGUAGCCGGUUUGUUGAACCGGGGACCCCCACUAUAUUAGCGCGACAUACUGCUAAGAAAGAGGCUUUAGAGAAGCAGAAAGUGCGGUUUGAUAUCUCCCAUUACGUUCACCUCAAUGUCAAUGAUGUACUGUCCGGCUAUCUCAGUCAUGUGCACUCCAGCCGUGACUCGGAAAUCGAGAUGGUCAAACAAUUAAAACUAAAAUAUGUGGUAUGUUCUCCGGUUUACUUAUACUCUGCCAGCCCCAAGUCUUUAGAUGAUGAACUUGAAUGAUCUGUAGACUUUAUGAUAUAAGUUGAUACUUUGCCUCUAGGUUUUUCGAAAGUCCAAUAGAGUAGCGUAAACUUCACCUAUAGUCCCCAAGGGCCAGCUCAAUUUAUCAUAAAUGAACCGGUACUUAAUUGCAUAACUGUCUUUUACUAGUCCCAAUAAGUAUUGUGAUCCAACUCAAUCUUGAAAAACUUUCUGAAUAUCAUGCAUUAGCCCCCAAGUGCCAAGCGUUGUUACUUUGUAAAACCCUUGGGACUUGAAACAUAUAAAAGUCAUAAAAAAUUGCUUUGGCAGACAUUAGCCCCCAAGUGUCAAGUGGUAUUGUGGUGCAAAGUACUUGAGACUUGAACCCUUAUAACUUUUAGUUUAAGUCUUGACACACCUGUGAAUGUUUUGUAGAACGCCCUAUCUGAAUUGGGCUCUCAAUUGACGGAUGCCAAGACCUGACUGGCGGAGUAGGAGACAGAGAUAAAGACCACUGACUCUAAACUCCAAUUGAGCCUCUCUGAAUCUGAGAAAUUGAAGACCAGCUUAGCUGCAAAAAAGAAAUCCCGAGACGAAGAAAAGACGCUGCUGAUACAACACGCUGAGACAGCUGAGGCGGCUCUUGUGGAGGCUACAACAGAGCUCACUGGUUUAAAAAACCGGGUGUCUCAAAUGGUCCAUGGAGUAACAACCUGAGCCAGGAUAGUGUGACAAAGCUGAAGGCGGUUUAUACCUUGGUGGAACAACUUUAUACGGGAGCUCAACGGGCGCUUGCUGCUAUCUCUCCUGCCAACCAAGGACCCAACCGCCUAAGUGAUGUUUUGAAGAAGUUAUCGAUCUUACCCGCCAGUUUUCAAGAGGUCAAACGAUCUUGUGCCAGAGCCGGAGCCCUGACUGCCCUGAGCCGCUCCAAAGCUUGGGUGCCGGAUUUAGACCCGGUGGACGUGGCUAAGGGGUACCCUACCGUGAAGCAAGACGGGACUCCAUUUGAGCAAGAUGACUUUAUUACCUGCGUAAGGGGAGUUCAUCCUAAAGCUACCAUUCUUGGAGAGGAGACCAACAUCGAGAAAUAUCAGCCGGGUUUUGAUAUGGAGAAUAAGAAGAUGGCGACUCCCUCUUAUAAAGUGACAGAUCUUACCGCCGGUUUGUCAACACACUUUUGCCCCGGAAAUUGACCCGGCCGGCCUAAUUGAUAAUGAGGCCGAGUUCAUUGCUUUGAACGGCUUUGACUGGUCCAAUCCCAGCUUCCAACCAGUGGAGGGAGGUGAGCCGGCCAGGGGGGAGUCAUAACCAUCUGAACAAUCCAGCUUUUAGCUUAAGACCUACUUAGGAGAGAAAAACAGUCUAACCUUUUGGGCUCUCAAUGCCUUGUAAUAGGUUAGUUUGAAAACUGCAUAUUUUGCCUAUGCCAUUGUGCAUAUGACUCUUUACCCAUGAUGUCAAUAUAUGCAUUACAUCCGUGGUUA